AUUGAACGCUGGCGGCGUGCCUAACACAUGCAAGUCGAGCGGUAACAGGUGUAGCAAUACAUGCUGACGAGCGGCGGACGGGUGAGUAAUGUUUGGGAAUCUGCCUAUUAGUGGGGGACAACCCGGGGAAACUCGGGCUAAUACCGCAUACGCUCUACGAAGGAAAGCCGGGGACCGCAAGGCCUGGCGCUAGUAGAUGAGCCCAAAUUGGAUUAGCUAGUUGGUGAGGUAACGGCUCACCAAGGCGACGAUCCAUGACUGGUUUGAGAGAACGACCAGUCACACCGGAACUGAGACACGGUCCGGACUCCUACGGGAGGCAGCAGUGGGGAAUAUUGGACAGUGGGCGAAAGCCUGAUCCAGCGACGCCGCGUGGGUGAAGAAGGCCUGCGGGUUGUAAAGCCCUUUCGGUGGGGAUAAAAAGCCUUGGUUUAACGCACCAGGGUCUUGAUCUAACCCAAGAAAGAAGCACCGGCUAACUCUGUGCCAGCCGCCGCGGUAA
RNAcentral lists this ribosomal RNA (502 nucleotides) under uncultured bacterium. RNAcentral describes it as "partial 16S ribosomal RNA". It matches the Rfam family "Bacterial small subunit ribosomal RNA", at positions 30 to 523 of the family's 1533-position model. The record is from RNAcentral.